CGAACGGCAGCACGGACUUCGGUCUGGUGGCGAGUGGCGAACGGGUGAGUAACAUUUCGGAACGUAUCCCUAAUGGGGGAUAACUAAUCGAAAGGUUGGCUAAUACCGCUUACGCCCUAGGGGGGAAAGCUGGGGAUCGCAAGACCUGGGGUUGAUGGAGCGGCCGAUGUCUGAUUAGCUAGUUGGUGAGGUAAAGGCUCACCAAGGCGACGAUCAGUAGCUGGUCUGAUAGGACGACCAGCCACACUGGAACUGAGACACGGUCCACACUCCUACGGGAGGCAGCAGUGGGGAAUUUUGGACAAUGGGCGCCAGCCUGAUCCAGCCGUUCCACGUGAGUGAAGAAGGCCUUCGGAUUGUAAAGCCCUUUCUCAAGGGAAGAAAACUUACCCUCUAACAUAGGGUGAGGUCGACGGUACCUUGAUAAGAAGCACCGGCUAACUACGUGCCAGCAGCCGCGGUAAUACGUAGGGUGCGAGCGUUAAUCGGAAUUACUGGGCGUAAAGCGUGCGCACGCGGCCUUGAAGGUCAGAUGUGAAAUCCCCGAGCUCAACUUGGAAACUGCGUUUGAAACUCCAAGGCUAGAAUAUGUCCUAUGGGGGUAGAAUUCCACGUGUAGCAGUGAAAUGCGUAGAGAUGUGGAGGAAUACCAAUGGCUAAUGCAGCCUCCUGGAAUAAUAUUGACGCUCAUGCACGAAUUGCGUGACGCAGCAAACACGAUUAGAUACCCUGCUAGUCCACGCCCUACACGAUGUCUACUAGUUGUUGGUGGAGUAAAAUCCAUGAUGACGCAUCUAACGCGUGAAGUACACCGCCUGCGGAGUACGGGCGCAGAUGAAGACUCAAAUGAAUUGACGG
RNAcentral lists this ribosomal RNA (858 nucleotides) under uncultured bacterium. RNAcentral describes it as "bacterial SSU rRNA". It matches the Rfam family "Bacterial small subunit ribosomal RNA", at positions 63 to 916 of the family's 1533-position model. The record is from RNAcentral.